Non-coding RNA from Ictidomys tridecemlineatus (thirteen-lined ground squirrel), 1667 nucleotides. NCBI's taxonomy places the organism in Eukaryota, Metazoa, Chordata, Mammalia, Rodentia, Sciuridae. The record is from RefSeq and is a predicted model, not a curated record.
UGGUGCUGAGGAUUGAACCCGGGCCGCAUGCAUGCCAGGCAAGCACGCUACCACUUGAGCCACAUCCCCAGCCCCAGAAAAAAAUAGUUUUUAAAAAGCACAAGGAGAUACCAUUCCAUGAAACAUACACAAAGACCACAAUGAGAUGGCACUAGAAUAAUUAAAGAGGCUGCAGAGACUAAAUAAAAUGUACAGCAGUUGAAGCUUGACACAUGACUGGUGUGAAUUAUAAAAUGGUUCAGAGCCCUGAUCACUAGCCAUUUAUUACAAGGCUAACGUGUAUCCACCUAUGACUGUAAUUUCACUGCUCGGUGCUCUAGUCCCCCUAAAUGGGAAAAAAAAUAGCAAUCAUAUGCCCACCAAAAUGUUUUCUGUAACUUGAUAAAAUCACACUGAACCAAUGCCUCUCAACAGGAGAUCAGGUAAACUGGGACCGAAUACCACUUAAAUACCACAAACUUCUGACUUAUCAACAACAUGGAUGGAUGAAUCUUAAAAGCAAAGAAUGACAGAAGCCAGAUACAAAAGAGCACAUAUUGUAUGCCUGCAUCAAGUUCAAAACCAGAAACUAACCUUUGGAUAUUGAAGCCAGAACAAUUCACUUGGGAAUUAAUAGUCUAAUAAGAAAAGAGGAACCUGGGGUGGUGGCAGUGCUCCAUUCUUGAGGAGCUUGUUGAAGCAGCAAGAUCCCUUGACCCCAGGAGUUUGAGGCCAGCCUGGUCACAUAGUGGGAUCCAUAUCCAAGGAAAAAGAAGGAGAAGAAGAAUGAAUGAAUUUGAAGAGCUUUAUGUACUUCUAUUACUCAAUUUUUAUGUACACUGUUUUAUAUUUAUUAGAUGUAUUUUUUAAAUUAUGUAUUUCCUGCAUUGCCUGAUAUCACAUCCCCUCCAACAGAGAGGAAGAAAGAAGUAUGAUGUAUAUGUAAAGAUUUAAUUGUUUUAAUACAUUAUUAUUGCUUUGGUAAAGUUCUGAGUUCUGUGAGGACCCAAAUGACCUAGUUCAUGGACAGCCAGGUAUCACAUUGGGAAACUAGUUUUUAGAAAGUUCAAAAGAAAAUGUCCUCAUGGCAUUCUUUUGAAUGAGCCACUUUGAUAAAAACAAGAUAUUGUGUGUACAUGUUACAAAAUUCAGAGUCCAUAGGUCAUGCUGUGAAGAUAUGUCUGAGUUCUUUAUCCUAGAGGCAGCUACUAUCACAAAUUACUUGUAUACCUCCAGACAUGCUCUGUGUCCAUGCAGGCAUUGGCCUAACUAUUUGGUAGUCUACCAUACAGUAUUAUGCAUAUUGAAUUUUUCAUUUAAAAUACAUAUCUUGAAAAUUGUGGCAUAUCAUCAUGUUUGGGGCUGAAUUGUAUAAUUUUUUUUAAUCUCCAAGUUAUUUCAAUGUAUGGAUUAACCACAACUCAUUCCAUUAGUCCCCUAUUGCUUCCAAUAUUUUCUUUGUAUGUACAAACAAUGAUAUGUACAAAUAUCCUUCUAUAUUUGCAUGCAUGCAUGUAUACAUGUACAAUAAAUCCCUAGUAGUAGGAUUGCUUGUUCAAAAGACGAGUGUACCUAAAAGUUUGAAAACUCUGUAGCAAUUUCAUUUUGCUUUCCUACUCUGAACUUUAAGAUGGUAUCAAAUUUGUUAUUUUUUGCCAAACUUAUAGGUGAUAAAAUUUUUAAUGCAA